This 2430-nucleotide ribosomal RNA is filed under the name Escherichia coli. RNAcentral describes it as "bacterial LSU rRNA". It matches the Rfam family "Bacterial large subunit ribosomal RNA", at positions 398 to 2812 of the family's 2925-position model. The record is from RNAcentral. Lineage: Bacteria; Pseudomonadati; Pseudomonadota; Gammaproteobacteria; Enterobacterales; Enterobacteriaceae.
UGUGAGCUCGAUGAGUAGGGCGGGACACGUGGUAUCCUGUCUGAAUAUGGGGGGACCAUCCUCCAAGGCUAAAUACUCCUGACUGACCGAUAGUGAACCAGUACCGUGAGGGAAAGGCGAAAAGAACCCCGGCGAGGGGAGUGAAAAAGAACCUGAAACCGUGUACGUACAAGCAGUGGGAGCACAGAGCAAUCUGUGUGACUGCGUACCUUUUGUAUAAUGGGUCAGCGACUUAUAUUCUGUAGCAAGGUUAACCGAAUAGGGGAGCCGAAGGGAAACCGAGUCUUAACCGGGCGUUAAGUUGCAGGGUAUAGACCCGAAACCCGGUGAUCUAGCCAUGGGCAGGUUGAAGGUUGGGUAACACUAACUGGAGGACCGAACCGACUAAUGUUGAAAAAUUAGCGGAUGACUUGUGGCUGGGGGUGAAAGGCCAAUCAAACCGGGAGAUAGCUGGUUCUCCCCGAAAGCUAUUUAGGUAGCGCCUCGUGAAUUCAUCUCCGGGGGUAGAGCACUGUUUCGGCAAGGGGGUCAUCCCGACUUACCAACCCGAUGCAAACUGCGAAUACCGGAGAAUGUUAUCACGGGAGACACACGGCGGGUGCUAACGUCCGUCGUGAAGAGGGAAACAACCCAGACCGCCAGCUAAGGUCCCAAAGUCAUGGUUAAGUGGGAAACGAUGUGGGAAGGCCCAGACAGCCAGGAUGUUGGCUUAGAAGCAGCCAUCAUUUAAAGAAAGCGUAAUAGCUCACUGGUCGAGUCGGCCUGCGCGGAAGAUGUAACGGGGCUAAACCAUGCACCGAAGCUGCGGCAGCGACACUGUGUGUUGUUGGGUAGGGGAGCGUUCUGUAAGCCUGUGAAGGUGUGCUGUGAGGCAUGCUGGAGGUAUCAGAAGUGCGAAUGCUGACAUAAGUAACGAUAAAGCGGGUGAAAAGCCCGCUCGCCGGAAGACCAAGGGUUCCUGUCCAACGUUAAUCGGGGCAGGGUGAGUCGACCCCUAAGGCGAGGCCGAAAGGCGUAGUCGAUGGGAAACAGGUUAAUAUUCCUGUACUUGGUGUUACUGCGAAGGGGGGACGGAGAAGGCUAUGUUGGCCGGGCGACGGUUGUCCCGGUUUAAGCGUGUAGGCUGGUUUUCCAGGCAAAUCCGGAAAAUCAAGGCUGAGGCGUGAUGACGAGGCACUACGGUGCUGAAGCAACAAAUGCCCUGCUUCCAGGAAAAGCCUCUAAGCAUCAGGUAACAUCAAAUCGUACCCCAAACCGACACAGGUGGUCAGGUAGAGAAUACCAAGGCGCUUGAGAGAACUCGGGUGAAGGAACUAGGCAAAAUGGUGCCGUAACUUCGGGAGAAGGCACGCUGAUAUGUAGGUGAAGUCCCUCGCGGAUGGAGCUGAAAUCAGUCGAAGAUACCAGCUGGCUGCAACUGUUUAUUAAAAACACAGCACUGUGCAAACACGAAAGUGGACGUAUACGGUGUGACGCCUGCCCGGUGCCGGAAGGUUAAUUGAUGGGGUCAGCGCAAGCGAAGCUCUUGAUCGAAGCCCCGGUAAACGGCGGCCGUAACUAUAACGGUCCUAAGGUAGCGAAAUUCCUUGUCGGGUAAGUUCCGACCUGCACGAAUGGCGUAAUGAUGGCCAGGCUGUCUCCACCCGAGACUCAGUGAAAUUGAACUCGCUGUGAAGAUGCAGUGUACCCGCGGCAAGACGGAAAGACCCCGUGAACCUUUACUAUAGCUUGACACUGAACAUUGAGCCUUGAUGUGUAGGAUAGGUGGGAGGCUUUGAAGUGUGGACGCCAGUCUGCAUGGAGCCGACCUUGAAAUACCACCCUUUAAUGUUUGAUGUUCUAACGUGGACCCGUGAUCCGGGUUGCGGACAGUGUCUGGUGGGUAGUUUGACUGGGGCGGUCUCCUCCUAAAGAGUAACGGAGGAGCACGAAGGUUGGCUAAUCCUGGUCGGACAUCAGGAGGUUAGUGCAAUGGCAUAAGCCAGCUUGACUGCGAGCGUGACGGCGCGAGCAGGUGCGAAAGCAGGUCAUAGUGAUCCGGUGGUUCUGAAUGGAAGGGCCAUCGCUCAACGGAUAAAAGGUACUCCGGGGAUAACAGGCUGAUACCGCCCAAGAGUUCAUAUCGACGGCGGUGUUUGGCACCUCGAUGUCGGCUCAUCACAUCCUGGGGCUGAAGUAGGUCCCAAGGGUAUGGCUGUUCGCCAUUUAAAGUGGUACGCGAGCUGGGUUUAGAACGUCGUGAGACAGUUCGGUCCCUAUCUGCCGUGGGCGCUGGAGAACUGAGGGGGGCUGCUCCUAGUACGAGAGGACCGGAGUGGACGCAUCACUGGUGUUCGGGUUGUCAUGCCAAUGGCACUGCCCGGUAGCUAAAUGCGGAAGAGAUAAGUGCUGAAAGCAUCUAAGCACGAAACUUGCCCCGAGAUGAGUUCU